RNAcentral lists this unclassified non-coding RNA (387 nucleotides) under soil metagenome. RNAcentral describes it as "partial contains 5.8S ribosomal RNA, internal transcribed spacer 2, and large subunit ribosomal RNA". The stretch from base 1 to 122 matches the Rfam family "5.8S ribosomal RNA", at positions 35 to 154 of the family's 154-position model. The record is from RNAcentral.
GAUGAAGAACGUAGCGAAAUGCGAUAAGUAAUGUGAAUUGCAGAAUUCAGUGAAUCAUCGAAUCUUUGAACGCACCUUGCACCCUUUGAACUGCUCCAAAGGGUAUGCUCGUUUGAGUGUCAUUGUACUCUCACACUCUCUGAUCCUUUGGAUUUGGGGAGCAGUGGACUUGGGUGCUUGCUGCUUCCUUGUGGCUCACCUGAAAUGCAUCAGUGCAUCUCUCGAUUGGACAUAGUACGGCGUGAUAAGUGUCUUCGCCGGCACCUCAUAUGAGGGUGGCCGAUCGGGAGCUCUGUGCUUUCAAACCGUCUUCGGACAACGCUGACAACUUGACCUCAAAUCGAGUAGGACUACCCGCUGAACUUAAGCAUAUCAAUAAGCGGAGGA